CUGGCGGCAGGCCUAACACAUGCAAGUCGAACGGUAACAGGAAGAAGCUUGCUUCUUUGCUGACGAGUGGCGGACGGGUGAGUAAUGUCUGGGAAACUGCCUGAUGGAGGGGGAUAACUACUGGAAACGGUAGCUAAUACCGCAUAACGUCGCAAGACCAAAGAGGGGGACCUUCGGGCCUCUUGCCAUCGGAUGUGCCCAGAUGGGAUUAGCUUGUUGGUGGGGUAACGGCUCACCAAGGCGACGAUCCCUAGCUGGUCUGAGAGGAUGACCAGCCACACUGGAACUGAGACACGGUCCAGACUCCUACGGGAGGCAGCAGUGGGGAAUAUUGCACAAUGGGCGCAAGCCUGAUGCAGCCAUGCCGCGUGUAUGAAGAAGGCCUUCGGGUUGUAAAGUACUUUCAGCGGGGAGGAAGGGAGUAAAGUUAAUACCUUUGCUCAUUGACGUUACCCGCAGAAGAAGCACCGGCUAACUCCGUGCCAGCAGCCGCGGUAAUACGGAGGGUGCAAGCGUUAAUCGGAAUUACUGGGCGUAAAGCGCACGCAGGCGGUUUGUUAAGUCAGAUGUGAAAUCCCCGGGCUCAACCUGGGAACUGCAUCUGAUACUGGCAAGCUUGAGUCUCGUAGAGGGGGGUAGAAUUCCAGGUGUAGCGGUGAAAUGCGUAGAGAUCUGGAGGAAUACCGGUGGCGAAGGCGGCCCCCUGGACGAAGACUGACGCUCAGGUGCGAAAGCGUGGGGAGCAAACAGGAUUAGAUACCCUGGUAGUCCACGCCGUAAACGAUGUCGACUUGGAGGUUGUGCCCUUGAGGCGUGGCUUCCGGAGCUAACGCGUUAAGUCGACCGCCUGGGGAGUACGGCCGCAAGGUUAAAACUCAAAUGAAUUGACGGGGGCCCGCACAAGCGGUGGAGCAUGUGGUUUAAUUCGAUGCAACGCGAAGAACCUUACCUGGUCUUGACAUCCACAGAACUUUCCAGAGAUGGAUUGGUGCCUUCGGGAACUGUGAGACAGGUGCUGCAUGGCUGUCGUCAGCUCGUGUUGUGAAAUGUUGGGUUAAGUCCCGCAACGAGCGCAACCCUUAUCCUUUGUUGCCAGCGGUCCGGCCGGGAACUCAAAGGAGACUGCCAGUGAUAAACUGGAGGAAGGUGGGGAUGACGUCAAGUCAUCAUGGCCCUUACGACCAGGGCUACACACGUGCUACAAUGGCGCAUACAAAGAGAAGCGACCUCGCGAGAGCAAGCGGACCUCAUAAAGUGCGUCGUAGUCCGGAUUGGAGUCUGCAACUCGACUCCAUGAAGUCGGAAUCGCUAGUAAUCGUGGAUCAGAAUGCCACGGUGAAUACGUUCCCGGGCCUUGUACACACCGCCCGUCACACCAUGGGAGUGGGUUGCAAAAGAAGUAGGUAGCUUAACCUUCGGGAGGGCGCUUACCACUUUGUGAUUCAUGACUGGGGUGAAGUCGUAACAAGGUAACCGUAGGGGAACCUGCGGUUG
Molecule: ribosomal RNA, 1494 nt
Filed under: Escherichia coli
Lineage: Bacteria; Pseudomonadati; Pseudomonadota; Gammaproteobacteria; Enterobacterales; Enterobacteriaceae
Description: bacterial SSU rRNA
Rfam family: Bacterial small subunit ribosomal RNA
Source: RNAcentral